This is a non-coding RNA of Mycobacterium shimoidei, 51 nucleotides long. Lineage: Bacteria; Bacillati; Actinomycetota; Actinomycetes; Mycobacteriales; Mycobacteriaceae. The record is from Rfam.
CAGGUCCCGGUUCACGUCCGUUAUUUCUGUGAUGCGGGCGACCCGGCGGCC